AUUGAACGCUGGCGGCAGGCCUAACACAUGCAAGUCGAGCGGAUGAAGGGAGCUUGCUCCUGGAUUCAGCGGCGGACGGGUGAGUAAUGCCUAGGAAUCUGCCUGGUAGUGGGGGAUAACGUCCGGAAACGGGCGCUAAUACCGCAUACGUCCUGAGGGAGAAAGUGGGGGAUCUUCGGACCUCACGCUAUCAGAUGAGCCUAGGUCGGAUUAGCUAGUUGGUGGGGUAAAGGCCUACCAAGGCGACGAUCCGUAACUGGUCUGAGAGGAUGAUCAGUCACACUGGAACUGAGACACGGUCCAGACUCCUACGGGAGGCAGCAGUGGGGAAGAUUGGACAAAGGGCGAAAGCCUGAUCCAGCCAUGCCGAGUGUGUGAAGAAGGUCUUCGGAUUGUAAAGCACUUUAAGGUGGGAGGAAGGGCAGUAAGUUAAUACCUUGCGGUUUUGACGUUACCAACAGAAUAAGCACCGGCUAACUUCGUG
This 484-nucleotide ribosomal RNA is filed under the name uncultured bacterium. RNAcentral's name for it is "partial 16S ribosomal RNA". It matches the Rfam family "Bacterial small subunit ribosomal RNA", at positions 30 to 507 of the family's 1533-position model. The record is from RNAcentral.